AGUGAACGCUGGCGGUAGGCCUAACACAUGCAAGUCGAACGGCAGCACAGUAAGAGCUUGCUCUUACGGGUGGCGAGUGGCGGACGGGUGAGGAAUACAUCGGAAUCUACUUUUUCGUGGGGGAUAACGUAGGGAAACUUACGCUAAUACCGCAUACGACCUACGGGUGAAAGCAGGGGAUCUUCGGACCUUGCGCGAUUGAAUGAGCCGAUGGCGGAUUGGCUAGUUGGCGGGGUAAAGGCCCACCAAGGGGACGAUCCGUAGCUGGUCUGAGAGGAGGGUCAGCCACACUGGAGCUGAGCCACGGUACAGACUCCUACGGGAGGCAGCAGCGGGGAAUAGUGGACACUGGGAGGAAGCCUGAUCCAGCCAUGCCGGGUGGGUGAAGAAGGCCUGCGGGUUGUAAAGCCCUUUUGUUGGGAAAGAACAGCAUCAGGUGAAUACCCCGCUGUUCGGACGGUACCGAAAGAAUAAGCACCGGCUAACUUCGU
RNAcentral lists this ribosomal RNA (491 nucleotides) under uncultured bacterium. RNAcentral describes it as "partial 16S ribosomal RNA". It matches the Rfam family "Bacterial small subunit ribosomal RNA", at positions 29 to 506 of the family's 1533-position model. The record is from RNAcentral.